AUUCCUGUGAUUUCAAAUACCAAAUGGAACUUCUAUCUUAUAUGCAUAGCUACUGUCAGUUAUUCCAACAAGUUGACUUAGAGCUCAGUCACUUUCCAUCUAUUAGAUCCUCUUACUGUCAAAAGCCUAAAACUCCUGUUUGAAGCCCACAUAGAGUGGAAUACAAAUGUGAGGAGAUAAGGUAUUUAACCACUAAUGCUACCACACCAACCACACUACGUCAAAUGCCUUACUAAAUCAUCACCCAAAUGAUAAAGGAAAUUUAUCCCACCUGAGGAGUAAUGCUGUUGGCUGCUGUAAUUCCAUUAUUACGGUUUUUCAUCAUGAACAUUUCAGUGUGCUUCUUAGAAAAGAGCAUGCAAGAUCCCCACGGACAUCCUUGAGAAAUUGAAUGCUGGAUUUUGUCCAUGACAGAAGAGGGACUUCCACCAACGUUCUGCUACAUCCUUAUCUUCAAGACGUACGCUCAUCCAGCUUCACUGCUUCAGUUCUUCUUUGCUGCUUCACUGGCGAGUUAGUUCACUUCAGUUGCUGUGACAACUGCAGUCACUGACAACGGGAUUAUGGCCAGGUAAUGCAGAGGAGACGUCGAGAAGAUGGACACCAAAA
RNAcentral lists this long non-coding RNA (609 nucleotides) under Daphnia pulicaria. Its description in RNAcentral is "uncharacterized LOC124350308". Lineage: Eukaryota; Metazoa; Arthropoda; Branchiopoda; Diplostraca; Daphniidae. The record is from RNAcentral.